GAUGAACGCUGGCGGCGUGCCUAAUACAUGCAAGUCGAGCGAACGGACGAGAAGCUUGCUUCUCUGAUGUUAGCGGCGGACGGGUGAGUAACACGUGGAUAACCUACCUAUAAGACUGGGAUAACUUCGGGAAACCGGAGCUAAUACCGGAUAAUAUUUUGAACCGCAUGGUUCAAAAGUGAAAGACGGUCUUGCUGUCACUUAUAGAUGGAUCCGCGCUGCAUUAGCUAGUUGGUAAGGUAACGGCUUACCAAGGCAACGAUGCAUAGCCGACCUGAGAGGGGGACGGGCCACAAUGGAACUGAGACACGGUCCAGCCUCCUACGGGGGGCAGCAGGAGGGAAUUUUCCGCAAGGGGCGAAAGCCUGCCGGAGCCACGCCGCGUGGGUGAUAAAGGUCUUCGGAUCGAAAACCUUUUUUAUGAGGGAAAAAAAUAUGUUUAAUUAACUGUGCACAUCUUGACGGUACCUAAUCAAAAAGCCCCGGCUAACUACGUG
RNAcentral lists this ribosomal RNA (497 nucleotides) under uncultured bacterium. RNAcentral describes it as "partial 16S ribosomal RNA". It matches the Rfam family "Bacterial small subunit ribosomal RNA", at positions 28 to 507 of the family's 1533-position model. The record is from RNAcentral.